This 425-nucleotide ribosomal RNA is filed under the name uncultured bacterium. Its description in RNAcentral is "partial 16S ribosomal RNA". It matches the Rfam family "Bacterial small subunit ribosomal RNA", at positions 354 to 796 of the family's 1533-position model. The record is from RNAcentral.
GUGGGGAAUCUUGCGCAAUGGGCGAAAGCCUGACGCAGCCAUGCCGCGUGAAUGAUGAAGGUCUUAGGAUUGUAAAAUUCUUUCACCGGGGACGAUAAUGACGGUACCCGGAGAAGAAGCCCCGGCUAACUUCGUGCCAGCAGCCGCGGUAAUACGAAGGGGGCUAGCGUUGCUCGGAAUUACUGGGCGUAAAGGGCGCGUAGGCGGACAGUUUAGUCAGAGGUGAAAGCCCAGGGCUCAACCUUGGAAUUGCCUUUGAUACUGACUGGCUUGAGUACGGGAGAGGUGAGUGGAACUCCGAGUGUAGAGGUGAAAUUCGUAGAUAUUCGGAAGAACACCAGUGGCGAAGGCGACUCACUGGCCCGUUACUGACGCUGAGGCGCGAAAGCGUGGGGAGCAAACAGGAUUAGAUACCCUAGUAGUCC